Non-coding RNA from Bemisia tabaci, 2965 nucleotides. NCBI's taxonomy places the organism in Eukaryota, Metazoa, Arthropoda, Insecta, Hemiptera, Aleyrodidae. The record is from RefSeq and is a predicted model, not a curated record.
UCUUUCACUUUCAUGUCGUUUAAUCUCUAAAGGAAAGAGUUAGUUUGUCUUUAUGUAGUCAUGCUGUGAUAAAGAGGCCAAUUUCAUCAUUUUGAAAGCUCACCUAGACCAUCUCUUCCCUGCGAAUCGAUAGCUUAGCCUUUGUUUCCCAUGAUCAUUUUUCCUCCUUUAUUCAAUGGGCCAGUUGCGCUGCUAACAGAAUCAUAUUUUGAUGCGUGGUUCUAGUAGAUCAGCAUUAAGUAAACAGAUCCGUCCCAACAGCAACUCUCUAGGUACCUUGAUUAUUAACCGAGAUAUUUGGCCUUGACACACUUGACUUAUGGCGUCAUCCACUGCGGAAGUGCAUAACAUGAUAUUUCCUACCAUGGUGGAUGACUUUAUAAGUCAAGUUUCUAAAGGCGAGAUACCUCGGUUAAUAUUCAACAUAGAAAUUUGCUGUUUGGCCAGAUCUUAUAAUUUUUAGUUGAUCUGCAAGAAUAAAGUAUCGUUACACGAUUCUGAGACCAGCAAGGCUGCCCCAUCCUUCCACUCCCAUGUUCUAUGUUAUAUUUCCAAUGUUUCAACCCUAAAUUUUUCACAAUUACCUGUUUACUCUGCUCUCAAGAGGUGUCGUCAGCUAAGUUGGCACUUGUUUACAUUCCACUUGCAAGCAAUAGAUGAUAUUAGUAGUGAAGUCAUCAUAGGGAUUCUCCAUUGUAUCAAAUUGGAUCCAUACAAUAACAUUGGCGUAACCUCUUUCAAUGCUACUAUAAUGCGAAUAAAUCGAUAUGUAUAACGCUUUUUUGUGACGUGCUACUAAUAGCGUCUAUUGAGAUGCAAUUGUCCAACAGCUAUAGGGGAUUGACGGCAGCCUGAUCGUGAGCUUAGUCAAUCCUUGAUUUCUGUUGGACUACUACAUUGUAGUUGCUUGCGAAUGUUAUGUAUUCAAGUGCCAACUUAGCUGACGACACCUCUACCUCAAGUUAGCACUAUUACUUCUGAUAGUUUUACACAAGUUUGUCCUUUCUCUUGAAGGCAUAAAGUUAUUUGACCAAUUUCAUCUACUCUCCACCGUCAACCUUCUCUCGUAUUGACUUGUGCAACACUCAAGAAUAUUUAUUUUCGGUUCACAGUGUACUCUCCGUUUUUAAUUGAUCAGAAUGGGUAUGUAGAGACCUUAAAUUAAUUCAAAAAGAACUAAAGCAUUUUGCCAUAUUCUUUGUAUCUUUGUAAACUUUAUUUGAGAGGAGUUAAACUCCUGUCUGAGGUAGCAACUUCAGCAGUAAUCUUACUGCAUCACUCUCCGCACUGUACGACUGGCUAAAUGAUCUGCUAUAGACUGUUUACACAAGUAAAAGUAGUCAGCAAAAAAUCGAUUAGUCUCUUAGUGAGUGGUAUUAUUUUCGGAAGGUUGCCUUUGCAACAAAUUAAAAACCUGCUCAUCAUAUUGCAGGUACAUGAAAAAAAGAAGCCCGAAGAAUUUUGUUGCCCUCUUCCUAAUGUAGAUUUCUCCUUUUUACAGAUUUAAAAACAUAUCAAAAUGGCGCCAGAGCCACUGGAUAUCUUUGAGCAUGAGUUGCUCUUCAAAGCAACGGAUAUCUCUUAGCAUGAGUUGCUCUUCAAAGCAACCAAUUUUACCAAACUGGCCUCCGUAGAUAUGUGUCAGUACCUGGAGGCAUACAUGAGGAAUAUUAGAAACCUCUACCAUAACUCCUCAGCAGUAAAAGAAAUUAAUUUUGCUGAAGCUGCGAUGGUGAUUCAGAAUUCAUCAAUUAUCUUUGCCAAGAAUGUUGACUCAAUUUGGGCAAGAGCUAUGAACAUACGGCUUGCUUUAUCUGCUACCAUGAAAUAAAAUAUUGAUAUGAAACUAGACAAGAAAGAGGACAAAUCAGCAAAGCAAUCAGAUAAACUUGUCCUUCCCACCUCCUCGCAAAUCAAAAAGGCUGCCGAGCAUCCUGUCCAUGAGGAAAUUUUCAAUAAUGACAUGGAUCACUCAAUGAUGGACGGACACAAUCCUCUGUCCCCGCCUCCUCCAACACCACCGCCAACCCCUCCGCCUAUGGACCUUCCCAUGAACGAUUCGCUUGAAAGUUUAAAAGAUUCUCAAGAAGAAACUGAAAAAGAACGCGAGUGACGGCAUAAAAUACGAAAAAAUUCAGAGCGAGAAAACAUUGUCUCCAGAUAAAGUUUUAGCAAAAGCGUGGGAACCCAUCCCUUUGGACAAAGGCAAUCCGAUUCGGCCUUUGGAAUAACAAAGAGUAUACAAGUUAGAUACAAAUGAUCCGUCUAGUUUGAGAAAAAAGAAGAAUAGAGGAAAGACAGACACAGAGUCAGAAACGUUUAUUGUGUCAGAAAUGUUCAUAAAGGGUGAAUACUAUCUUAUCAAUGGCCACGGGUUUGAUCCAUGGGUUCUAGCGGAAUUUCACGCGGUACAGAUGAAAUGACUGGAAGACGCUCCCAACAGAAAGAGAAAAAUAUUAGUGUCAUCACAGAAGGCUCACUCAAUCACUCAAGUGGAGCACAAGCAGUUUUCGGUCAAGGUGCUAAUCCCUCUGCAUAUAUUCUACCUGUGUCUGCAGUUGUACCAUGCCUAAGUUUUUUCCUAUGUCGUCCACUUUCUGCAUUUUUACUUUUGAUACACAACCAAAACACUGUAGCAAGGAAUGUGUUAACAAUAACAACCUACUCUGCUGUGAUAAGGAUAGACGCUGUAUGAACUUCACCAAAUCUCUUCCAAUCAAGAAGUAAUUUUUGAGGAGGUUUCAUUGGAUUUUCUCUAUAACGCGAAGUCAAACACAAGUAGUUCUUGGUCGUGUUCAAGGUGGUAAUUCGUCUACGUAGUGCAGCCUACAAGUGUCGGUGGCUAUAGCAUCCCUAACUUGCUUACUGUGUUUUCUAUUUUUUGAAGACUGAUCUGCCUUCAACUCAGCCAGUCGUCAGAGGACUGUUGAAAUACUGACCCAGAACAUCCAGUUGAAAAGAGGUG